GUCUACAGGUUGAAAUUUUCAGGAUUAUUUACAAGACCCGGCUCAUCUUCCAGAAGAUGACCUGACCCUUGGGGGCUACAUGUUUAAGUUUUCAAGACUAUUUACAAGACCCAGCUCAUCUUCAAGAAGAUGACCCGACCCUUGGGGGCUACAUAGGGAUAUAUUGGGUAAUUUGUUACACAAUACCAUCCCUUGUAUCUUUUCUUCAUCAUAUUUACCAGGCCGUUUUCCAUGUCUAGGUUCAUGGAGAGACGGUUCAGAUAUCUCGCAUGCAGUUAUUCAAAGUUUAGUUUCUCAAUAUUGGGAAGCUGAAGU
Molecule: long non-coding RNA, 315 nt
Filed under: Hordeum vulgare
Lineage: Eukaryota; Viridiplantae; Streptophyta; Magnoliopsida; Poales; Poaceae
Description: long non-coding RNA (HVUL_LNC007365)
Source: RNAcentral